GGUUAAGCGACUAAGCGUACACGGUGGAUGCCCUGGCAGUCAGAGGCGAUGAAGGACGUGCUAAUCUGCGAUAAGCGUCGGUAAGGUGAUAUGAACCGUUAUAACCGGCGAUUUCCGAAUGGGGAAACCCAGUGUGUUUCGACACACUAUCAUUAACUGAAUCCAUAGGUUAAUGAGGCGAACCGGGGGAACUGAAACAUCUAA
This 204-nucleotide ribosomal RNA is filed under the name Escherichia coli. RNAcentral describes it as "partial 23S ribosomal RNA". It matches the Rfam family "Bacterial large subunit ribosomal RNA", at positions 1 to 205 of the family's 2925-position model. RNAcentral also lists the same sequence under 1 other name. Lineage: Bacteria; Pseudomonadati; Pseudomonadota; Gammaproteobacteria; Enterobacterales; Enterobacteriaceae. The record is from RNAcentral.